AAGGGGCUUAGGAUAAUCUUAAACCAAGAGCCUUCAAAACUCUAAAUAAGGGCCCAAAACCCUUAGCCCCUG
This 72-nucleotide transfer RNA is filed under the name Anniella pulchra. RNAcentral's name for it is "tRNA-Trp". It matches the Rfam family "tRNA". Rfam says of the family: Transfer RNA (tRNA) molecules are approximately 80 nucleotides in length. Their secondary structure includes four short double-helical elements and three loops (D, anti-codon, and T loops). Lineage: Eukaryota; Metazoa; Chordata; Lepidosauria; Squamata; Anniellidae. The record is from RNAcentral.